UGUUGGUAUACAGUAUACGUGUGUGUGUAUGUGUGUUAUGUGUGUAGUGUGUGUAUGUGUGUGUGUGUAGUGUGUGUGUGUGUGUGUGUUCGUAUACAGUAUACGUGUGUGUGUAGUAUGUGUGUGUGUUGGUAUACAGUAUACGUGUGUGAAGUAUGUGUGUGUGUGUGUUCGUAUACAGUAUACGUGUGUGUGUGUGUGUGUGUGUGUGUGUGUAGUGUUGUGUGUGUGUAGUAUGUGUGUGUGUGUGUGCCCCGCUCUUUGGCCUCAGGGUC
This is a long non-coding RNA of Ictalurus punctatus (channel catfish), 275 nucleotides long. Lineage: Eukaryota; Metazoa; Chordata; Actinopteri; Siluriformes; Ictaluridae. The record is from Ensembl.